GGAGGAUUUUCAGUCCAUUGAAGCCUAUGUGAAAAGAUUGAAGUCCAUCGCCGAUUCUCUAGUAGAAAUCGGCGAUGAGAUCUCAAAUUCAGACAAGGUGUUGCAACUUCUUGCUGGUUUGCCUAAUCAAUACUUACCCCUCAAAAACAUAAUAUCAUCAAGGUGUCCUCUCCCCAAUUUUGAAGAAGCUUCUUCCAUGUUGUACAUGCAGGAGGACAUAUUAUUACAUGUAAGCAAAGGGGGAAAAAAAUUUACUCUAUAUUCAAAAGGCAUAAUACAUAAACAUGACAUUUAAUUUGGCGACAGCUGAUAAUUAUGAUCUUUAAUUUUGAAUAUGCACAAGUAAAUACUUAAAUUUAUAUAAAAUUGAACACAUUCGUCCUACAUGACACCUUACAUGACAAUAUCGUGUCCUACAUGGCAUCCUAUGCCUAUUAUGUCACGUAGGACAAAUAUGUUUAUUUGUUCAAUUUUAUACAAAUUUAAGUACCUACUUGUGCACAUUCAAAAUUAAAGAUCAUAGUUAUCCGUUAAAACCAAGUUAAGGAUCAUGUUUAUAUCUUAUGCCUAUUCAAAAUUACAAAUAUUCUUAUUAUGAGCUAAUUUACGGUUGCAGGAUCCCAGUGUUGUUGGUGCAGAGCAAUCGUCGUCUGGUUUUUGUACAGUAGAUAAGUUUGUUGAUGUAGUGGAGACAUUGGGUACUGUAGUAGCUGCAGCUGGUACAUUGGGAUUGGGUACUGUCUUUGCUGCUCCAUUGGGUACUGUGGUUGGUGCAGUUGGUGCAUCCAGGAUGAUUGUAUUUGGAGCAGUAAGUGCCAUGUCUGGCUGGAAAAAUUGGCAAGCACUCCGUCGCAAGUAAUUAAUCGGUUGAUUUCUUGUAUGGUCACUUAAUUAAUAGUUAUUUCGUUUGUGUAAUCAAAAGCUUGAUUUGCUACUUCUAUUUAAAGUUUGUCUUGAGAUGUAUUAUGAUAUGCAGUUGAAGUUCUACACAAACUUUCAUUUGUGUUUUGCAAUAUUUUGAUUUUCCUUUUGAGGUGUGUAUGGUAUGGAGGUAUAUUUUUGGGAAAAUGGUCUGAAAAGUAUUUUAACUUUGAUCGAAAUUAUUGUUACGAUAUCAAAUUUUAUGGAGGAUUUUUUACCUCUACACUAUUUAAUAGUGGAUUUUAAAGGUAUAUAUGUACCUAGUGGACACGUUACUAUUUAUAAUGAUGCAAUAUUUAUGAUGUUCACAUGGACAUAUAUAUACCUUUAAAAUACACUAUUAAAUAUUGUUACAACAAUUUCGAUCAAAAUUCGGAUAUAUUUCAGAUCAUUUUCCCUAUAUUUUUUGGUAAAGGAUUAAUUAAUCUCCGUAAUAGACCCAGAUUAGUUGAAGAGAAUAGUUUUAGAUUCCGUUUGGAUAAGCUGGAAAAAAAUGAGUAGUUUUUAAGUCAAAAAAUUAAAAAUUAAAAAAUUUAGAAAUAAUUUCAGAGACCUUCCCUCACAUUUAACUUUAUAACACUUACUUCCCUUGUGGUUUCAGAUAUUACACUCAUCUCCUUAUUUUUAAAUUUUUGUAACCAAACUUAUUUAAAUGAUAAUCUUUCAACAACAUUCCAAAAAUACCCUUUUAUAACAUUAAUAUAAUUAUUUAAUACUUCUAUAGUUCUUUAUGACUAAUAACAUAAGCAAUAUUUCGUUCCAGUUUUUAAUACUAUAUUUGAGUUUCUUUUAAGGUUGGAUUCAUAAUACGAGAAACGAUACGGUAUAAAUCAAUCGGUAAAUUCUUUUUUUUGAUAGAAAAAUGCAACCUGCAUACUUGACCUCCAAAUAUUUGUAUAAACAUUUUUUUUUUCAUUUGACAUGCGAUAAUAAAUGUUUAGUUUGAUAAUUUUUUAGACUUAAGAAAAAAAACAAUUAUGUUCAUAUAUAUAUAUAAAAAAAAAAAAUCUGCACAUAAUUACCAGACAAUAUUUCCCGACCCUAAACAAUAUUUUUAUAAUAAAUUUUCAACAUUCUUUUUGUACUUAAAAUAUUGCAUAUGUCUUAACCGUAAAAAUUACCACUAAAUUUUAAUAUGUUUAAGAAGUUCCGUCAUUUUAGCAAGUUCGAUAGUUUACAAGGAAAUAAAUAAAUGUAUAUAAUGAAAGACGGUGCGCGGUGGAGCACCAUAGGUAGAGUAUUUUAUUUCAGCUAAAAUAUUUUGGAAAUUUUCAUUUCAAAAAUUAAUAAAAAAUAAUGUUAAGCAAGGGGCAACUUUGGAAUAUUGGAUGAGUUUUAAUGAUUAAUAAAAAAUAAUGUCAAGAAAGGGCAACUUUGGAAUAUUAGAUGGGUUUUAGCAUUAAAACUAAUUUGGUUACAUAAAUGUGAAAAUAAGGGAGGUGAGCGUAAUAUCUAAAACUAGAAGGGAAGAUAGUGUUAUAAGGCUAAACUUGAGGGGAGGUCUCUGAAAUUAUCCUAAAAUUUUAAAUAAUUUUUAAGUCAAAAAAUGAAAAGUAAGAGAGCCUACUUUUGAUUUUUAAUUUAUUUGACAUUAUUUUUAACUUUGUCAAAACACUUUCAACAACUAAAAACACAUUAAAAAUAGGUUUGAUCAACUUUUAAAUUCAUCCAAACAUGUUAGUUUGAUGUAUCGAUCAAAUUUCGACUUACAUGCAUUGAUGCAAACAUCCAGGUGAGAAGGGAAUGUAAGUCAAGAUAAGCUAUAAUUGUGUUGGUGUUGUCAUUGAAAUCAAGAGAAAAUAAUUAAAAUGGUCUUUUGGUAAUGUUUUAUUUUGGUUCUUAAUAUAUUUUUAGGAAAAAUACUUAAAUAUGUCAUUGAAUUUUGAGAAAAUGUUCAUCAAUGUCAAAUCUAAAAAUUUGGUUCGUCUAUGUCUUUUCUGUUUGAGAAAAAGUUCAUCCAUUUUUUGUCAAAAUUCAAUGACAUAUUUGAGUUUUUUCUCUUUAAAAAUGAUUUAAUUAACAAUGUGGCUGAAUCAUAAUUGACCACGUGUAAAAAAAUAAUUUUGAAAAAUUGAAAUUAUUUUUAACAAAUAAUGGCAUGGAUGAGUGUUUUUCAAAUGAAAAUGGCAUAGAUGGGCCUUUUCUCAAAGUUUGAUGACAUAUUUAAGUCUUUUUUCCUAUAUUUUACAUGAUUGAAAUAAUACUUACUUAAUAACAAAAGUUAUUCAUUUGGGUCCUAAAAUUAAACCUAAUAGGGGCGGGCCCACGUUGAGCGAAUGGGUGUCAAGCGAAUCCCCGAAAAAUUUAACUAAAGUUUUUUAUAUAUAUAUAUAUAUUAACUAAGAAAUUUUUUAUUUAAGCAAAUAUGAUUAUGUCUUUCCAAUCCUUUAAUCCACCUUGUUUGCACAUCUACCUAUUAGAGCCUCUGUUCCGAUCAUUCAAUAUCCGUAUCUUUCAUACUAUAUUUAUCUAAAUUAUACAUAAAAUAAAUUUAAGAUACUAUUUUUUUAUAUAUAUAGCAAACACAAAAAAUAAUUAAAUUAUUUUCUUACCGUAUCAAACAUGAUCAAAGUAACGAAUUUUUUGCUUUAGGAAAUUGUACGGAGCCAAUAAUGUGUAAGGCAGUUUGGUCAUAUCGCGAAUUAAUAAAUUUUUUUUAUUAUAUGCAACAAUUUUAUUGUUACUAAACUAUAGGACUUGCGUGAAAUUUGUGUUCCAAUAUGAAAAGUAGAUCAAGGAAAAAGACAAAAAUAUGUCUAUUUCAUUAUAGCUUUUAUUUCCCUCAGACCUAAAGACCAAGUCAGCUCAUUUUCUAUCAACCAAUAUGACUUACUUCACGAGUAAGUUAAUUCAGAUACGUAUUCUUCUCCUUUUUCAAUUUAUGUCAUAUUAUUUAAACUGAUAAGGAAUUUAAGAAAUAAAUAAAUAUUUUAAAAAUUCGUUAUAAAUACUUUUAAUAUUGCUAUCUCAAUAUAAAUAGCAAUAUUUAAUUCUGUAAAAAAAAUGAAAAAUGAAAAAAUAAAUUAAAAUUUAUUGUUUAAAUAAAUUUUAGAUAUUUAUAUAUAUAAAUCAUUUUAUUUAUUAAGGUAAUAGAUAAAUUUUGAAUUUAAGCUAUUUAUUAUUAUAUAAAAAUGAGUUAUUUAAAAAAUAUAUAUAGUAUCAUAUAAAAUAGGCAAACAGUAUUUUCUUUGAUCACAAUUUGUUAAAAUAAUUUUUAAAAUAUCAUUCUUUUAAGAAACAUAUGUUGUAUAUAUAAUAUAAAUAUGAAAAUUUUAUCUUAAAAAUUAGUAAAAAAUUCAACAUCUAAAAUCACAUUAAAAAAAUUAAAGAUUCUAACACCUAAAUUCAAAGUGAAAGAUGUUUUUUGAAGAUUGGUUUAUAUUUGAAUUAACAUCAAAAUUUUAAACAGUAAGAGUUUGUUUGACCGAGGAACAAGUUGUUUUGAGAUUAAUUAUUUAAAAUCAUCAUUUCCUUCUCUAUGUGGAAUAAAAAUAACAUUAUUAACUAAUCUAAUCAUCUUAUCAACAUAAAAAAAACGAGAUAAAUUCAUCUUAAAAUUAAUUUCAAAAUUAAUUAUUUCUUAUCAUUAGUACCAAACGAGCCAUAACACACUAAUUCAAACAGUACUACAGGGUUCAUAUUUUAAAGGGUGGAAGUCUACUCAGAGAAUAAGAAGAAAAACCGGAGAGAUAGAAGCAGAGUUCAGUCAGGUAGAAACUUUAACAAUGAAUUUUCCAAUUGAAGAAUCUGAUAAAAAAAUAAAUCAAAAUUUACAGUUUAAAUAAAUGUUACGAUAUUUAUAUAGAUAUUAAUCAUUUUAUUAAGGUAAUAUAUAAAUUUUGAAGUUAAGCUAUUUAUUAUUAUAUAAAAAUAUUUUUUUAAAAAAAAAACUAUAUCAUAUAAAUUAAGAUAGAAAAAAUUAUCAUCUUCCUUAAAACGCAUGGAAAGAAAAAAGCAUCAUGUAAAGAAAGUUGAUAUUCUGAAUAAUACAUUUCUUGACUUCACCCACCAAUAAAGUUAUUAAAAAUAAAAGGUAACCAAUAAUGUUGUCUCAUCGUACUACUUUAAAUCUUUUAUCGUAAAGUACAAAAUAUACUAAUAAAAUGUUGCUAUCCAGUCCCUCAUUUUCUCCCUAUAAUUUUUUCAUAUAUAAUUGUAUUACUUUAAUAAUACUUGUAUGGAGAAAAUUCUCUUAAGAGUGUCACCCCCAAAUGAGCUCUGUAGAGCGCGAUCCAAAAUUAGUUGGAGCUUCAAGGUGGACUACAAACACCGGGUGAGAAACAAAAAAAAAACAACUAAUUUUGUAGUGCUAUUUUUAAAGAGUUACUUGACAAUAAGAAUUAUAUAAGGUAAAAACAAUAGACAAACCAUGUGAUUAAAAUAGGGAAAAUUAUGCAGAUAAGUAAAUAUACACUAGUUAAUUAACUAAUAUGGUUAUAAUUUGAAUUAAUUAUCACUUGCCGCCUUUUUUUAGUUAUAAUUACAUACACCUCUUUCACCUUUUUCCUCUCUUAUACAUACAAAUACAAAUUAUACAUAUACAUAUACAAUUAUAUGAUAGAUAUAUGAAUACAAUUCAUCUCUCUCCACUCUCUGCUCUCUCCUCCUUCUCUCAAUCUCGCUCGCAUCUCUCUUCCUUCUCCCACUCUCGCUCGCCUCUCUCCUCCUUCUCCCAAUCGUGCUCACCAAAUAUUCAAAUACAUACGUAUACCAGUUACAUAUAUACAAUUAUCUGACAUAUAUACAUAUACAAUUCGACAGAUAUGCAAAUACAAUUCACCUCUCUCGCUCGAUUCUCUCUUCCCUCUUCAAUCUUGUUCGCCUCUCUUCUCCCUCUAACAUGUAGAUACAAAUCAUAAUUAGCAAACUAUAACUAUGAUGCCUAAUAAAAUUAAUUUUAAUGGCUAUUUACAAAAUUUCUCCGUUAAAAUAAAAGUUUAUUUCUCUUUGGAUACACGAUAAGUGGCACUAGCCUGUGCAUAUCUCUGAUGGCAAGUAAACGACAGAGGAAGGAGGAAUCUAUGGCUAAACCCCAACUUAAUUAUGAGAUUAUAAUCUAUAAUGCAAAAUGAUUUAUUUUUUUUUGGUUUCAAUCUAUAUCUGCUACUAUUAAAAUAGGCAAACAGUAUUUUCUUUGAUCACAAUUUGUUAAAAUAAUUUUUAAAAUAUCAGUUUUUUAUGUACUCAUAAUAUAUAAAUGUGAAUAUUUUAUCUUAAAAUUUCUUUUACAUAAAUAUAUCAAACACAAAAAUUAAUUAAAUUAUAUUCUUACCGUAUCAAACAUGAUCAAAGUAAAGAAUUUUUUGCUUUAGGAAAUUGAACGGAGCCAAUAAUGUGCAAGGCAGUUUGGGUCCCAUCGUGAAUUAACAAACUUUUUAUUAUUGUUACCAAAAUUAUUGAACUUGAGUGGAAUUUACAGUCCAAUAUGAAAAGUAGAUCGAUGAAAAAGACAAAAAUAUGUCUAUUUCAUUAUAGCUUUCAUAUUCCCUCCAAUCUAAAGACCAAGUUAGCUCAUUUUCUGUCGAUCUAUAUGACUUACUUCACCAGUAAGCUAGUUCAGAUAUGUAUUAUUCUCUUUUUUCAAUUUAUUUCAUACUAUUUGAACUGAUAAGGAAUUUAAGAAAUAAAUAAAUACUUUAAAAACUCGUUAUAAAUACUUUAAAUAUUGAUUUCUUAAUAUAAAUAGCACUAUUUAAUUCUGUACAAAAUUUAAAAAUGAAAUAAAAAAGAUUUUUUAAAAUUUAUAGUUAAAAUAAAUUUUAGAUAUUUAUAUAGAUAUAAAUCAUUUUUAUUUAUUAAGGUAAUAGAUAAAUUUUGAAGUUAUGCUAUUUAUUAUUAUAUAAAAAUGAAUUAUUUUUUUUAAAAAUAAAUUAUAGUAUCAUAUAAAAUAGGCAAACAUUAUUUUCUUUGAUCACAAUUUGUUAAAAUAAUUUUUAAAAUAUCAUUUUUUUAUGAAACAUAUGUUGUAUAUAUAAUAUAAAUAUGAAAAUUUUAUCUUAAAAAAUACUAAAGAAUUCAACAUCUAAAAUCACAUUAAAAAAAUUAAAGAUUCAACACCUAAAUUCAAAGUGAAAGAUGUUUUUUGAAGAUUGGUUUAUAUUUGAAUUAACAUCAAAAUUUUAAACAGUAAGAGUUUGUUUGACCGAGGAACAAGUUGUUUUGAGAUUAAUUAUUUCCUUCUUUAUGUGGAAUAAAAAUAACACUAUUAACUAAUCUAUUGAUCUUAUCAAAAUAAAAAAUAAAAAAAAGAUAAACUCAUCUUAAGAUUAAUUUCAAAAUUAGUUAUUCCUUUUCAGUAGUACCAAACGAGUCAUAACACACUAAUUCAAACAGUACUAAAGGGUUCAUAUUUUAAAGGGUGGAAGUCUUCUCAAAGAAAAGAGAAAAGACAUAAAGUCAUCACUAAAAUUGUUGCAAAUUUUCAAAAAGAUACUUUAACUUUGCAAUCGUCCUAUUACCUCACUAAACAAUUUUGAACAUAUAUUAUUAUAUCAUUUUUUUUAUCAAUCCCAGAUUUUAAAAAGCAAGUGUGUUCACACACCAAUCAUUACAUAACACGUGUUAAUUUUAUUUUCAUUUUAACUUUUUUCUUUAUCUGUCUUUCUUUUUUACUUAUUUUAAUUUUAAUUUCAUCUUAAAUUCAUCUUCCACCUCCCACUUUCAAGUGAUUCAUCCCUCCAUUUUCUUUCGUUUUCUUCACCUCCCAUCCUCACCUCACCCACCACGUCAAGUUGAACCCCGCCCUCAUUUUUUUUCUCUUUUUCUUCUUCUUCUCCGGUCAAAUUCUUUAUAGAAUUCAUACUAUCUUUUAGACUUUAUUGAAUUAUUGAUAACAAAAUUAAUUAUUUUUUUAAGAAAAUUUAAAAUUUGAAGAUAUCAUCAACUACUCCUUUUCAUAUAACUUCAAAAUUAAAAAUAAUAAUUUUAAAAGAAUCAAUGAAUUCCCCGAAAAUUGAAAGAACUCAAUUGAAAUCGGAUAAAAAAAUUAUAUGAUACUUCCUAAUUAUCUUGAAAUCUAAUGGGUUUAUCAAAUUGUUCGAAAUGUAAAAAAAUAUUUAGUUAAAGUUUUAAAAUUAAAGAGAGUAAAACUAAUUGUAGUAAUAAAGGAAGGUGAAGUUGUGGUAAAAAUGGUGACAUUGAAAGUGAGAAGUUUCAAUGGAAAUAACAAUGAAUUUUUGAAGAAGAAAGAAGAAAGAAAGAGAAAAAAUAAAAAGGAAAAAAAGUUAAAAUAAUAAAAAAAUAAGAAAAUAUAUUUUAUAAUAAAGUAUUUGUAAAAAUAAAAUUAUAUUAGUUCAUUUAGCUUGCUCACUCUCUUUGAGAGAGUGUACACCACUCUAUAUGUCAGGUGGACGAAAAAUGAUAUAGUAAUACAUAUUCAAAAUUGUUUAGUGAGGUAAUAGUAUGAUUGUAAAGUUAAGAUGUCUUUUUUAAAAUCUAGGACAACUUCAAUAUUGCAUUUAUGUCUUUUCUCGAGAGAAAAAGAAAAACCAGAGAGAUAGAAGCAGAGUUCAAUCAGUUAAGAAUGAAUUUUCCAAAUGAAGAAUCUGAUAAUUCCACGAUUUCAGUUGAAGAUGAACAGAUCAAGCGGACUCAACUUAAAAUUCAAUUUCAGAGUACAAGAAAAGGGGAUCUCGAAACAAUCGAAUCCUAUGUGAAAAAAUUGAAAUCCAUAGCCAAUUCUCUAGCAGAAAUUGACAGUCCGAUCUCAGAUUCAGACAUGGUGUUGCAACUUCUUGCUGGUUUGCCUAAUCAAUACUUGCCCCUCAAAAACACAAUAUCAUCAAUGUGUCAUCUCCCCAAUUUUGAAGAAACUUCUUCCAUGUUGUACA
This 8750-nucleotide long non-coding RNA is filed under the name Solanum tuberosum (potato). RNAcentral describes it as "long non-coding RNA (STUB_LNC000190)". Lineage: Eukaryota; Viridiplantae; Streptophyta; Magnoliopsida; Solanales; Solanaceae. The record is from RNAcentral.